This 76-nucleotide transfer RNA is filed under the name Actinoplanes awajinensis subsp. mycoplanecinus. Its description in RNAcentral is "tRNA-Thr". Lineage: Bacteria; Bacillati; Actinomycetota; Actinomycetes; Micromonosporales; Micromonosporaceae. The record is from RNAcentral.
GCCGCCGUAGCUCACCUGGCAGAGCGCGGUCCUGGUACGACCGAGGCACCCGGUUCGACCCCGGGCGGUGGCUCCA